Molecule: ribosomal RNA, 516 nt
Filed under: Triticum aestivum (bread wheat)
Lineage: Eukaryota; Viridiplantae; Streptophyta; Magnoliopsida; Poales; Poaceae
Description: partial small subunit ribosomal RNA
Source: RNAcentral
CUGCAGAAGUCCCCGACGGCGGCAUGUACUUGGAGAAGCUGGGCGACGUUAAAGUGCAAGCUGUUUAUUUGGUUGGCGUUACAAUAUAGAUUGUGGACAUCGGAUAGACGGGCCCGUCAUGGCCUCCAAGACCAACCGUCGCCAUGUUUCACGUGCUUGCAAGCGGAGGACAAUGUUGACCACAUACUGGCCAAGUGCACCUUUGCACAGGAGGUGUGGCAUCAAGUGUUCGACCUGCUCGGCCUCAAUGUUGUAGGAACAACCCCAAACGACACCUUCCCUGUUUGGUGGAUGAGAGAAAGGAAGAAGUUUAGGGGAGCUAACAGAAGAGGGUUUGACACUCUCGUGACGGCGGUGGCUUGGAUACUUUGGAAGCAAAGAAACGCCAGGGUCUUCAACAGACAGGAGAAACAGAAGCCAGCACCCCUCAUUCCCAACCUAGUGCUUGAGGAAAUCACGGCAUGGCAUACGGCAGGGCUUGGAGCGGAACAUCUACAACGUUUUGUGAGGAGUUAG